This 377-nucleotide transfer RNA is filed under the name uncultured Pseudomonadota bacterium. RNAcentral describes it as "uncultured proteobacterium partial contains 16S ribosomal RNA, 16S-23S ribosomal RNA intergenic spacer, and 23S ribosomal RNA". The stretch from base 221 to 294 matches the Rfam family "tRNA". Lineage: Bacteria; Pseudomonadati; Pseudomonadota. The record is from RNAcentral.
CUAAGGAAAAGUCUUGAAACAGCCUCUUCGCUUUCGCGAAGCGCGCAUAUUCAAGACUUAUCUUAGGCGAAAAGCGCCGAGCUUCGGCCCGGCGCGACUUUCAGGCGGGUCGCCGCCGUCUUCGUUUCUCUUUCUCGCUCGGCGCGCAUCGGCGCGUCGGCGGCGCGCUGGCGUUCGCGGCGGCGUUGCGCUAAGGAGCCCGCCUCGGGUCCGCGCCCGGGGGCCGGUAGCUCAGGUGGUUAGAGCGCACGCCUGAUAAGCGUGAGGUCGGUGGUUCAAGUCCACCUCGGCCCACCAAUGCGGCGCGGCAUCAAAUCGGGGCCAUAGCUCAGUUGGGAGAGCGGAAGCUUUGCAAAGCUUCAGGUCGCCGGUUCGAU